UGCAGAGAUGUGUCAACAAUUCAGGAUUGUAGUGUUUUAAGCAUUGCAGUUGCAGUCUUCCCUACCUGCACAAUACCACUUAAGGCCUGAGACCAUUUAAGGUGUAGCUAUAUAAAGGAUCAAGUGCUGCUUGUUUGUAAAGUAGUCUGAACAGACACCACAUGGUACAUACCAGAUGUAAUUUCUACGUGAAGCAGCCAGGUUUGGCUUAGUCAUUCCCUGGGUUUGCUAAUGCAAAAGGUGAUCAGACAGGACAAACCCCAGCUGCAUUACUGAGCACUUGUAGCCCAUCAUGGGUUCCGUGUUCCCUGCUGCAGACCACUGAGGGAGAGGAAACCACACUGGCAGAGGUGCCUGAUGAUGUGGAAAAUCAUUUGCUGUCCCCAGAAAGAGGGUCACAUGCUGAUAAGCAGGCCCUGGAGGAUAUGAAAACAGACCUACUCCUCCCCUCUCCCACAGGGACCUCUCGUGGUGGCUCCAGGCCCCUCUUAGAUUAUGCCAUGAUGAGACGCAGCUGAGACCCCAUUAACAUCAUCUCUGGGGCCAGCGAGUGCCAGAGACAGAUGAGCAACUCUAAAUGGGAUCAGGUUCCUGAGCCUCUGAUUGAAUCUGCAUCCACCUCUCAAACACAGCGAGGGCUUGCACAACUGAACAACUGAAAGUACAAUGUUACAGUUAGGAACAAGAAAUACAUGUGAUAGGCAUGAAGGUACAGAGACCAGACGUCAUUAAGGUACCCCUCCUAGCUGCUAAAGAAAACAUGCAGAGUAUUUAACCUUGGGUGUGAUUGUGAUGAACUGAACUGAGAAGAUUCAUGGAUUUUAUCCUCUUUAACCAAACUGCAUUAUUGAAGGAUUAAUAAAACACAGAAAAUGCACAAUAUGACCAGUGCUGGACCCUGGUGGAGGCUGUAUGAUGCCUUCCUCACACAGGGCUUACUUCCAGUUCUC
Long non-coding RNA from Pogoniulus pusillus (Red-fronted tinkerbird), 950 nucleotides. RefSeq lists it as uncharacterized. The transcript has 2 exons. The record is from RefSeq and is a predicted model, not a curated record. NCBI's taxonomy places the organism in Eukaryota, Metazoa, Chordata, Aves, Piciformes, Lybiidae.